GACAGCCGGCUCCUCUCAUUGUUGGCACAAACAGCUCCAAACAAUUGCACUGACCACACAACUCCAAGCCACAUUCCAGGGCGCUGCCGUCUGCUCAGGAGUGAAUGCUGGGAAAAUGAACCAAGCUGCUAAUGUGCUUGAUUGGGGGAAAAAUAAGAACCCCAGUAACAAUGGGCGCAAUUUAUUUUUCCAACAAGAAUAUGGGCAAUGCCAGUUCAUUCCCCCUCCCAAUUGUUACCAUAAAUGAAAGCAAUCACCUAAUUAGUCCUGAAUUACUAACUGGCCUUAUCACCCCUUCCUCAUUGGAGACAAUGAAUCAUCCCCACCCCGUAGAGGGCCCUCUCCUGGAGGAAAAGAAGAACAAUCGGAGAGCAGGUUUCCCAAACUGCUUCACUCCACAAACGUUUUCCAAGCCAUUUGUGAAUGGCCUUAAUAAGACUGGAAAUGUGUCUCCUAGAAAGAUCUAGGUAAAUCUCCUUCACAGGCACCAUCCCAAUGCUGUUGCAGGGUCCGAACCCCAGGGGAUUUGAAAUGCCUGUUCCCAGUAUCGUAAGUGCUAUUUGCCAUAUCGUGUUUCUCUGUAAUUGCUUCAGUUAUUCAAACUCCACUCAGUUCUGAAUCCUUACAAGCACGGGAAAUUCUCUUCUAC
This 649-nucleotide long non-coding RNA is filed under the name Callithrix jacchus (white-tufted-ear marmoset). RNAcentral's name for it is "lncRNA (ENSCJAG00000055635.2)". Lineage: Eukaryota; Metazoa; Chordata; Mammalia; Primates; Cebidae. The record is from RNAcentral.